CCAUGGCCAAAGUGGAAGUUGAAUUGCAUUUCACUUCUAGAAUAUGCAGAAUCAAUCUAUAUAAAGUACUUUCUCAAUGAUUUUUCCACCGCAUUUUACUUCUGGAAUAUGCAGAAACAAUCAACAUAAAGUACUCUCUAAAUGAUUUAUGCACCAAAAAAGCUCAUCUGCAAACACCUAAAGAUAAUACUUCAACAUUAAGUUGGGUUUGUGGAACGUGUCCGCAGGUAUACGGAAUCGCACAAGUAAUAAAGAGUGAGUAAAAUAUAGUUCCCACAACGAUUGUCUUUAAUUACCAAAAUUUAUGUUAAUUUUUCUAAUAUCUAGACUAUCAAAUUGAAUUAAAUUCAAGAAAUUAAAAUUGAACUAAAAAUAAAAUUAACUACAAUUAAGAAAUUAACUAGAAAGAGCAAAUAAAACUUUGGGAUUAAAACCAAGUAAAAAAAAUGGCUAGGGAUAUUGAUUUCACUUAACCUAAUAGUUAAUCUCAAUUAAUUUUGUCUAAUAAUCAAAUUUAACUACUCUUGCAAGGGUUAAUAAUAAAAAAAAUUUUAAAAUCCCUCCCGAGCAUUAUCAAACCUUCUAGUUAAUGAAUUAACUCCUAUUUUCUAAUAGUGUGUUACAUACUAUAGAAGAAAGUAUAAUAGUAAUAGGAAGGGAAAUAUUGGCGGGAAAGGAAGCUAG
Molecule: unclassified non-coding RNA, 684 nt
Filed under: Hevea brasiliensis (rubber tree)
Lineage: Eukaryota; Viridiplantae; Streptophyta; Magnoliopsida; Malpighiales; Euphorbiaceae
Source: RNAcentral